GGUCACGUUAAUAACACGGCACCGCUCAACCUAUAUUUUUCGUUAAUUAUUGUCGCAGUUUGAAAGUGUAAAUCAACAUGAAAAACGAAAUGGUCAAAGUUUCUACCAACGCCAUAUUUCACAGAAACGACUAGAAUAUCCGCUUGUAUUCCAUGCAUAAUAUGCAUAAUAUAGAAUGUUCGCCAUCAAUGAAAAAACCCAAUUUCGGAGCGCCUAAGAUGUGGUCAAAAUCCUUUCCGGUUAGGAGGAGCUUUUGGCGGCCAUGUACAGCAAAAACAUAAUAUAUGAAAUGCGGAUAAACCUUACAAUUUAUUAAUCUAAAUAAAGAAGUAAGAUAUUUUGCUCUAUGACGAGAC
Long non-coding RNA from Aedes aegypti (yellow fever mosquito), 356 nucleotides. RefSeq lists it as uncharacterized. NCBI's taxonomy places the organism in Eukaryota, Metazoa, Arthropoda, Insecta, Diptera, Culicidae. The record is from RefSeq and is a predicted model, not a curated record. The transcript has 3 exons.